UUUUUCGAUCAAAAAUGUAGGAGAGUUCAACUCAAACACGUCUGCCUGCCCACAUCAAAACGACACCAUCUUCACCGUCGUACACCAAGUCUCCACCACUUAAAACCUACCAAGAUAAAAAUCAAACAAAAAACCCACCCCAAUUAAUUUCUUCUUUGUUACACCAAGCUCCAAGCUCCAGCCAUGGCCGCCAUCUCACUCUCUCUCUCUCCAAACCCUAGCUUCACGACCACCACCACCCACAAGCCUUCCCACGCCCUCUCUACCCCCACCUUUCUCAAAUUCCCAACCGUAUCCCCAUCCACCAUCAAAUCCCUUACCUACGCGCCCCUACCCCAAACCCCAACCCCACGCGCCACCUUCUCCACACGCGCCGCCGCAUCCCCAACCCCAUCCACCACAUUCCACGGCCUCUGCUAUGUCCUCGACGAUAACAUCGACACCGAUCAGAUCAUCCCCGCCGAGUACCUGACCCUAGUCCCCUCCAACCCCUCUGAGUAUGAGAAGCUCGGAUCCUACGCGCUCUGCGGUCUCCCGGACGCCCACUCCACGCGCUUCGUGGACCCGGGCAAGACCAAGUCCAAGUACUCGAUCAUAAUCGCGGGCGCGAACUUUGGGUGCGGGUCAUCGCGCGAGCACGCG
RNAcentral lists this long non-coding RNA (642 nucleotides) under Prunus persica (peach). RNAcentral's name for it is "long non-coding RNA (PPER_LNC005359)". Lineage: Eukaryota; Viridiplantae; Streptophyta; Magnoliopsida; Rosales; Rosaceae. The record is from RNAcentral.